CCUACGGGUGGCUGCAGUGGGGAAUAUUUGACAAUGGGGGGAACCCUGAUCCAGCCAUGCCGCGUGUGUGAAGAAGGCCCUCGGGUUGUAAAGCACUUUCAGUGAGGAAGAACGCCUGGUGGUUAAUACCCAUCAGGAAAGACAUCACUCACAGAAGAAGCACCGGCUAACUCCGUGCCAGCAGCCGCGGUAAUACGGAGGGUGCGAGCGUUAAUCGGAAUUACUGGGCGUAAAGCGCGCGUAGGUGGCUUGAUAAGCCGGUUGUGAAAGCCCCGGGCUCAACCUGGGAACGGCAUCCGGAACUGUCAAGCUAGAGUGCAGGAGAGGAAGGUAGAAUUCCCGGUGUAGCGGUGAAAUGCGUAGAGAUCGGGAGGAAUACCAGUGGCGAAGGCGGCCUUCUGGACUGACACUGACACUGAGGUGCGAAAGCGUGGGUAGCAAACAGGAUUAGAUACCCGAGUAGUC
This 465-nucleotide ribosomal RNA is filed under the name Vreelandella stevensii. RNAcentral describes it as "partial 16S ribosomal RNA". It matches the Rfam family "Bacterial small subunit ribosomal RNA", at positions 338 to 795 of the family's 1533-position model. Lineage: Bacteria; Pseudomonadati; Pseudomonadota; Gammaproteobacteria; Oceanospirillales; Halomonadaceae. The record is from RNAcentral.